This 267-nucleotide ribosomal RNA is filed under the name uncultured bacterium. RNAcentral describes it as "partial 16S ribosomal RNA". It matches the Rfam family "Bacterial small subunit ribosomal RNA", at positions 793 to 1055 of the family's 1533-position model. The record is from RNAcentral.
GUCCACGCUGUAAACGAUGAGAACUAGGUGUCGUGGGUGUUGACCCCCGCGGUGCCGCAGCUAACGCAUUAAGUUCUCCGCCUGGGAAGUACGGCCGCAAGGCUAAAACUCAAAGGAAUUGACGGGGGCCCCGCACAAGCGGUGGAGCAUGUGGUUUAAUUCGACGCAACGCGCAGAACCUUACCCAGACUUGACAUCUAUCAAACCCGGCCCAAAAGCUGGGGUGCCCGCAAGGGAAUGGUAAGACAGGUGCUGCAUGGCUGUCGU